GGAAGAAUGCCCGAGAGGCCUAUGGGCGCUGUUUUGAAAACAGAUGGGUGUAACAGCCACGCGGGUUCGAAUCCUGCUUCUUCCGC
RNAcentral lists this transfer RNA (86 nucleotides) under Microbacterium phage Pumpernickel. RNAcentral's name for it is "tRNA-Ser". It matches the Rfam family "tRNA". From Rfam's summary of the family: Transfer RNA (tRNA) molecules are approximately 80 nucleotides in length. Their secondary structure includes four short double-helical elements and three loops (D, anti-codon, and T loops). Lineage: Duplodnaviria; Heunggongvirae; Uroviricota; Caudoviricetes. The record is from RNAcentral.